CUACGGGAGGCAGCAGUGGGGAAUCUUAGACAAUGGGGGAAACCCUGAUCUAGCCAUGCCGCGUGAGUGAUGAAUGCCCUAUGGUCGUAAAGCUCUUUCGCCAGGGAUGAUAAUGACAGUACCUGGUAAAGAAACCCCGGCUAACUCCGUGCCAGCAGCCGCGGUAAUACGGAGGGGGUUAGCGUUGUUCGGAAUUACUGGGCGUAAAGCGCGCGUAGGCGGAUUAGAAAGUUGGGGGUGAAAUCCCGGGGCUCAACCCCGGAACUGCCUCCAAAACUACUAAUCUAGAGUUCGAGAGAGGUGAGUGGAAUUCCGAGUGUAGAGGUGAAAUUCGUAGAUAUUCGGAGGAACACCAGUGGCGAACGCGGCUCACUGGCUCGAUACUGACACUGAGGUGCGAAAGUGUGGGGAGCAAACAGGAUUAGAUACCCUGGUAGUCCACACCGUAAACGAUGAAUGCCAGUCGUCGGGGCGCUUGCGCUUCGGUGACACACCUAACGGAUUAAGCAUUCCGCCUGGGGAGUACGGUCGCAAGAUUAAAACUCAAAG
This 549-nucleotide ribosomal RNA is filed under the name uncultured bacterium. RNAcentral describes it as "bacterial SSU rRNA". It matches the Rfam family "Bacterial small subunit ribosomal RNA", at positions 339 to 906 of the family's 1533-position model. The record is from RNAcentral.